Molecule: ribosomal RNA, 492 nt
Filed under: uncultured bacterium
Lineage: Bacteria
Description: partial 16S ribosomal RNA
Rfam family: Bacterial small subunit ribosomal RNA
Source: RNAcentral
ACUGAACGCUGGCGGCAUGCUUUACACAUGCAAGUCGAACGGUAACAGGUUAAGCUGACGAGUGGCGAACGGGUGAGAAUGCAUCGGAACGUGCCCGGUCGUGGGGGAUAACGCAGCGAAAGCUGCGCUAAUACCGCAUACGAUCUGAGGAUGAAAGCGGGGGACCGUAAGGCCUCGCGCGAUCGGAGCGGCCGAUGUCAGAUUAGGUAGUUGGGGGGGUAAAGGCUCACCAAGCCGACGGUCUGUAGCUGGUCUGAGAGGACGACCAGCCACACUGGGACUGAGACACGGCCCAGACUCCUACGGGAGGCAGCAGUGGGGAAUUUUGGACAAUGGGCGCAAGCCUGAUCCAGCAAUGCCGCGUGCAGGAAGAAGGCCUUCGGGUUGUAAACUGCUUUUGUACGGAGCGAAAAGGCUCUCUCUAAUACAGGGGGCUCAUGACGGUACCGUAAGAAUAAGCACCGGCUAACUACGUGCCAGCCGCCGCCGUAA